This is a long non-coding RNA of Ictalurus punctatus (channel catfish), 1262 nucleotides long. NCBI's taxonomy places the organism in Eukaryota, Metazoa, Chordata, Actinopteri, Siluriformes, Ictaluridae. The record is from Ensembl.
CAAUAUUUCCAUGCUGGAGGAAACGGCCUAAAGAAAACGUACCUGGAGAAAAGUCCUGAGCUGAAAUCUCUGAAAUAUGCGCUUAGCCUUUACACCCAACCCACAGAUGCCUUGAUCAAAAAAUAUAUAUGCACCCAGAUGUCUCAAGGUAAGAAGUAAUUCUGUUGUUGGGAUAAAUCUUAGUGAUGAUGGAGGGUGUGUGUGUGUUGGGAGGGGGGUGUUUUUUACUGUGAAUAACCCAGAUGUGAGUUAUAAACAAGCAGGGGAAAGGAUAAGUGGCUUUAUUCUCAUAAUAUUGUUUGUAUUGAUCAUCACUGAGAUGGAGAUGAGAUCUAUUGGGUAUAGUAGUGCAAUAAAUGGUGCAAAUGCAUUGCUGUAAAAUCUAAAGAGAUGGGUGGGUUUAAUGGGACAGAACAUUGCUAAAUCGUGAACACAACAGGCGCUCCCUGUGGUUUCAAUUCUAAUUGUAGUGCAGCUGAAUAAUGAUGUUCAAUAUCGUAUUCCGGCUCUCAAGGCGGUGCUUCGAAAGAGAUACUGUUUACAAGAGGAUGUAUAGUGUGUAGUUCUGGAAACUUGCUCAGAUAUUGCAAAUAAGUCAUUUCAUGUGGAGUGAAUACAUGGCAUGGCAUGGCACAUUGCGAGACACUGUGGGACAGUCUGAGACAUUGUGGCACAAUGUGAGACAUUGUGAGAGAGUCUGAGACGUUGUGAGACACUGUGGGACAGUCUGAGACAUUGCGAGACACUCUGGGACAGUCUGAGACAUUGUGGCACAAUGUGAGACAUUGUGAGAGAGUGUGAGACAUUGUGAGACACUGUGGGAUAGUCUGAGACAUUGUGAGACACUGUGGGACAGUCUGAAACAUUGCGAGACACUGUGGGACAGUCUGAGGCAUUGUGAGAUACUCUGGGACAGUCUGAGACAUUGUGAGAGAGUGUGAGACAUUGUGAGACACUGUGGGACAGUCUGAGACAUUGUGAGACACUCUGGGACAGUCUGAGACAUUGUGAGACACUGUGGGACAGUCUGAGACAUUGUGAGACACUCUAGGACAGUCUGAGACAUUGUGAGAGAGUGUGAGACAUUGUGAGACACUGUGGGAUAGUCUGAGACAUUGUGAGACACUGUGGGACAGUCUGAAACAUUGCGAGACACUGUGGGACAGUCUGAGGCAUUGUGAGACACUGUGGGACAGUCUGAGACAUUCUGGGACAGUCUGAGACAUUAUGAGACACUCUGAGACAUUGUGAGACACUGUGGG